RNAcentral lists this ribosomal RNA (605 nucleotides) under Bacillus sp. (in: firmicutes). RNAcentral's name for it is "bacterial SSU rRNA". It matches the Rfam family "Bacterial small subunit ribosomal RNA", at positions 33 to 621 of the family's 1533-position model. Lineage: Bacteria; Bacillati; Bacillota; Bacilli; Caryophanales; Bacillaceae. The record is from RNAcentral.
ACCAUGGGGGGGGUGCUAAUACAUGCAAGUCGAGCGGACAGAUGGGAGCUUGCUCCCUGAAGUCAGCGGCGGACGGGUGAGUAACACGUGGGCAACCUGCCUGUAAGACUGGGAUAACUCCGGGAAACCGGGGCUAAUACCGGAUAAUUCUUUCCCUCACAUGAGGGAAAGCUGAAAGAUGGUUUCGGCUAUCACUUACAGAUGGGCCCGCGGCGCAUUAGCUAGUUGGUGAGGUAACGGCUCACCAAGGCAACGAUGCGUAGCCGACCUGAGAGGGUGAUCGGCCACACUGGGACUGAGACACGGCCCAGACUCCUACGGGAGGCAGCAGUAGGGAAUCUUCCGCAAUGGACGAAAGUCUGACGGAGCAACGCCGCGUGAGUGAUGAAGGUUUUCGGAUCGUAAAACUCUGUUGUUAGGGAAGAACAAGUACCGGAGUAACUGCCGGUACCUUGACGGUACCUAACCAGAAAGCCACGGCUAACUACGUGCCAGCAGCCGCGGUAAUACGUAGGUGGCAAGCGUUGUCCGGAAUUAUUGGGCGUAAAGCGCGCGCAGGCGGUUCCUUAAGUCUGAUGUGAAAGCCCCCGGCUCAACCGGGGAGG